CUGUGAGGGUGCUGCCAGCUGUUCCAGCUGUGGCCAGUGUCCCAGCUCAAGAUCCACAGAUUCUGAUGGCGCAGCAGCAGCAAGCUUUCAUCAACCAGCAGGCUGUCAUUAUGGCUCAGCAGAUGACGAUGCAGGCCAUGGCCAUGGUGACGACGAGCCCCAUCUCCAGCCCCCCCACCAGUCCUCCUCCUCCCCCAUACA
Molecule: long non-coding RNA, 201 nt
Organism: Tachysurus fulvidraco (yellow catfish)
Lineage: Eukaryota; Metazoa; Chordata; Actinopteri; Siluriformes; Bagridae
Exons: 3
Source: RefSeq, a predicted model, not a curated record